GGGCAGUUAGCUCAGCUUGGUUAGAGCACCUGCCUUACACGCAGGGGGUCACUGGUUCGAGUCCAGUACUGCCCACCA
This 78-nucleotide transfer RNA is filed under the name FCB group bacterium. Its description in RNAcentral is "tRNA-Val". It matches the Rfam family "tRNA". Rfam says of the family: Transfer RNA (tRNA) molecules are approximately 80 nucleotides in length. Their secondary structure includes four short double-helical elements and three loops (D, anti-codon, and T loops). Lineage: Bacteria; Pseudomonadati. The record is from RNAcentral.